UGAGAGUGGGAGUGCUCGAAAGAGAACCGGCGCACAGGUGCUGCAUGGCUGUCGUCAGCUCGUGUCGUGAGAUGUUGGGUUAAGUCCCGCAACGAGCGCAACCCUUAUCGUUAGUUGCUACCAUUAAGUUGAGCACUCUAGCGAGACUGCCCGGGUUAACCGGGAGGAAGUGGGGAUGACGUCAAGUCAGCAUGGCCUUUAUAUCCUGGGCUACACACACGCUACAAUGGAAGGGACAAUAGGUUGCGAAGCCGCGAGGCGGAGCCAAUCCAGCAAAAACUUCCCUCAGUUCAGAUUGCAGGCUGCAACUCGCCUGCUUAUGAAGUUGGAGUUGCUAGUAAACGCAGGUCAGCCAUACUGCGUUGAAUACGUUCCCGGGGCUU
Molecule: ribosomal RNA, 383 nt
Filed under: uncultured Clostridium sp.
Lineage: Bacteria; Bacillati; Bacillota; Clostridia; Eubacteriales; Clostridiaceae
Description: bacterial SSU rRNA
Rfam family: Bacterial small subunit ribosomal RNA
Source: RNAcentral